Gavialis gangeticus (Gharial) is the source of this 970-nucleotide long non-coding RNA. RefSeq lists it as uncharacterized. The transcript has 2 exons. Lineage: Eukaryota; Metazoa; Chordata; Crocodylia; Gavialidae. The record is from RefSeq and is a predicted model, not a curated record.
AAAAAACAAAAAACCUACUUAGUAUCUCAAAGAAACCCAUGCAGUAAAACACGGUGCCACCGAACAGGUGAGUGAGAACUCUGUGCCAAGAGUUCAAGCAGUAGGUCCCAAGUUCUAGUGCAAAAUCUGAUAUGUGAAAUAACUUACUCAUCUUAGACUAACUGAGGAUUUCAACUUGGCUGGGUUUUAAUACCAAAAUUGGAAAGGGCUACCAGUGAAAUCCUACCUGAGUGACAAACACCCUCCCCCUCUACCCUCUGACUUAGAAGGCCACAAUCUAGUUUUUUAGAUUGCGGUUCCCUCCAUUCUGCAGGCAAGUUUUUUUUUUUUUUUAACAGACCUUUUAUAAUGGUGUAAAAGGUCACUUAGCAGAACUGAGAAAUGCUUAUAUGGGUCAUGCCUGGCUAUCCUGUCAAGUAAUUUAUUAGAACACACUAUCAACCUCAAACCAAGAAUAGACUUCAUGACCCCUGGGACCUCAAUUCAUCCCAAACUUGUAUAAGCUAGGGACAGUUGUACUUCCAGAUAUUAAGUCUACUGCUGUCUUUUACCUGUAAGCCGGUUUUGAUGUGGCUAUGAGUCCCAGAUAAAAACUGAAGAAAAUUAGGGGGCCGAAACAGGACAUGACAACUCUGGAGUCAACCUUCACUAGGAGCACUUCAAGUUCUUAAGUUAAAACUUUAUGCAAAGCACAUUAAAUAAGUGGCAUAACUGUUGAUACAAGUUGUUCUUAAUCCCCUCUUCCUCAAAAGGUGACUUCAAAUAUAUAUACUUACAUUAAGUAUUUUAUGCAUUAACAUAUAAAGCAAAAGUUUCUCAACCAUACUGGCUGGACACUUGCUUUCAGCCAUGUGAUAAGACCUCCUAUACCAGCAUUUCCUUCAUUGUCUUGUUUCCAAAAGACAAGUUUUGAGUAAAUGAGUUUACUGACAAGUUGCUAAUCAGCAAGGCUAUUUUUUUCUUUUUGAAA